GACGAACGCUGGCGGCGUGCUUAACACAUGCAAGUCGAGCGGUAAGGCCCUUUCGGGGGUACGACGAGCGGCGAACGGGUGAGUAACACGUGGGUGACCUGCCCUUAGCUCUGGGAUAAGCCUGGGAAACUGGGUCUAAUACCGGAUAUGACUCCAUGACGCAUGUUGUGGGGUGGAAAGCCUUGUGCGGCUACGGAUGGGCCCGCGGCCUAUCAGCUUGUUGGUGGGUGAUGGCCUACCAAGGCGACGACGGGUAGCCGGCCUGAGAGGGCGACCGGCCACACUGGGACUGAGACACGGCCCAGACUCCUACGGGAGGCAGCAGUGGGGAAUCUUGCGCAAUGGGCGAAAGCCUGAACGCAGCGACGCCGCGUGAGGGAUGACGGCCU
This 389-nucleotide ribosomal RNA is filed under the name uncultured bacterium. Its description in RNAcentral is "bacterial SSU rRNA". It matches the Rfam family "Bacterial small subunit ribosomal RNA", at positions 28 to 417 of the family's 1533-position model. The record is from RNAcentral.